This 486-nucleotide small RNA is filed under the name Oryza sativa Japonica Group (Japanese rice). RNAcentral describes it as "sRNA Os05g0132601". Lineage: Eukaryota; Viridiplantae; Streptophyta; Magnoliopsida; Poales; Poaceae. The record is from RNAcentral.
GAAACAAAAUAAUCAAGUGCGUCCCAGAGCAACCGAUGCGCUUGCCUUCUAAAUUCAACGGGAGAAGGAUCUGGUUCUGUGUCAUUCUCACCAAUCCAGCCAUACCAGCCUACUUUUUCAUGAGCAUAGUAUGGCCUUGCAGGAGGUGGUGGCAGCGGUCUUGGGCGAGGCCCUGCUCUCUUCCAUUCGUCAACGAGUUCUUUCUCAGUUUUGGGAGGUGGAGGGUGUGCCAUAUCUGAUGCAAGAGGAGCCUCUGGGCCAACUAAAUCAGAUAACUCCCUCUGACUACAUACAGAAGUGCGAUCAACUAAGUUGGCAUACAUAGCUCGUAGUGGAAUAAGUAUUCUCUGUCCACCAAAAGUUUCAGAACCAGCCAAGUAUAUUAUUGUAGUUGAUGGAUAACCUAAUGCCUGAAGCAGAAGUCCAACCUGCAAAAGUGCAGAUUGAAGCACCGCACAAAUUGGCAACCAAAAUGAAUCGAUAAGC